Long non-coding RNA from Neofelis nebulosa (Clouded leopard), 484 nucleotides. RefSeq lists it as uncharacterized. The record is from RefSeq and is a predicted model, not a curated record. NCBI's taxonomy places the organism in Eukaryota, Metazoa, Chordata, Mammalia, Carnivora, Felidae. The transcript has 2 exons.
UGGUUUUUGCAUUUCCUAAUCUUAUUUGAUCUUAUUUUCAAGGGGUCAUGUGUGAUCCAAUGAUUAGUUGGUGGAAAAUGGUGUUUCAAGCUGUGUUUCCAGUCUUGGGCAUUCACCUAUGAAGUGCAAGCUGUGGCAAGAAUCAGCCUUCUAGAUCAAAGGGAUAUAAUGACAAAAGAAAAGGACGAAGUAUCCCCAGAGUAAGAAAUUCCAGACCAAAGUCAAGGCUGGACAGCUUCAUGGAUUAGCAUCUAUUAGAUGUUUCAUACUUGGAGCUUAUACCGUAAAGUAGCAUGGUCAACACACCAGCUCUUACACAUAGCAUAAGGACUACACCUGCAUACUCUUGAUUUACUUUAAUGUUUUCUUUCCUACCCCAAGACUGGAGAAAGCACCAGUUUUGAGAUUGUGUCUGAUUUUUCAUCCCUUGUGUGUUCCUACAGCUUUUUCCUUCCAUGAGUCUUUAAUAAAAUGGCUGGACACA